This 109-nucleotide ribosomal RNA is filed under the name Scophthalmus maximus (turbot). The record is from RNAcentral. Lineage: Eukaryota; Metazoa; Chordata; Actinopteri; Pleuronectiformes; Scophthalmidae.
GUUUACGGCCACACCGCCUGGUUCAUGCCCGAUCUCGGAAGCUAAGAUAGGUUGGGCCUGGUUAGUACUUGGAUGGGAGACCGCCUCGGAAUACCAGGUGCUGUAAGCU